This 72-nucleotide transfer RNA is filed under the name Fructilactobacillus sanfranciscensis. RNAcentral's name for it is "tRNA-Gln". It matches the Rfam family "tRNA". Rfam says of the family: Transfer RNA (tRNA) molecules are approximately 80 nucleotides in length. Their secondary structure includes four short double-helical elements and three loops (D, anti-codon, and T loops). The record is from RNAcentral. RNAcentral also lists the same sequence under 3 other names. Lineage: Bacteria; Bacillati; Bacillota; Bacilli; Lactobacillales; Lactobacillaceae.
UGGGCUAUGGCCAAGCGGUAAGGCACUAGGUUUUGAUCCUAGUAUGCGCUGGUUCGAUCCCAGCUAGCCCAA